ACCACUGCAAAUCUCUAACUACAACACUAAAUCUAAAGUCAAUGUACUUAACGACGAAUGGUGUUUGACGUACGACCCAGACUUCGCGAAUGAAGCUAACUAUUUAGCAUCUUCCUGGAAUGUAAGCGUAUCGUCGACCGAUGUCUCAUGUAAUCGCUCUAUAAAAAUAGUGAAAGAAGAGGUUGUGUUGAGGAAUAUCAAGCGUGUCUUGUCAUCGGAUGAAGCAUAUUUUGUCAAUGUGGACCCUGCAUCUUCCACCAUAUCAAUCAAAGCAUGGAAGCCGGCUGGGGUAUUUUAUGCUAUUCAGUCUCUUCUCAGUCUAAUGAAUUCUAAUGGACAGGUA
Long non-coding RNA from Physella acuta, 343 nucleotides. RefSeq lists it as uncharacterized. NCBI's taxonomy places the organism in Eukaryota, Metazoa, Mollusca, Gastropoda, Physidae. The record is from RefSeq and is a predicted model, not a curated record.